CUACGGGAGGCUCCAGUGGGGAAUAUUGGACAAUGGGGGAAACCCUGAUCCAGCAAUGCCGCGUGUGUGAAGAAGGCCUGCGGGUUGUAAAGCACUUUCGGUUGGGAGGACUGCUUCUAGCACUAAUAUUGUUGGAAGUUGACGUUACCUUCAGAAGAAGCACCGGCUAACUCCGUGCCAGCAGGCCGCGGUAAUACGGAGGGUGCAAGCGUUAAUCGGAAUUACUGGGCGUAAAGCGCGCGUAGGCGGCUAGAUCAGUCGGGUGUGAAAGCCCCGGGCUUAACCUGGGAACUGCAUCCGAUACUGUCUAGCUCGAGUACAGGAGAGGAGAGUGGAAUUCCACAUGUAGCGGUGAAAUGCGUAGAUAUGUGGAGGAACACCAAUGGCGAAGGCAGCUCUCUGGCCUGAUACUGACGCUGAGGUACGAAAGCGUGGGGAGCAAACAGGAUUAGAUACCCGAGUAGUC
RNAcentral lists this ribosomal RNA (466 nucleotides) under uncultured bacterium. Its description in RNAcentral is "partial 16S ribosomal RNA". It matches the Rfam family "Bacterial small subunit ribosomal RNA", at positions 339 to 795 of the family's 1533-position model. The record is from RNAcentral.